AGUGAACGCUGGCGGUAGGCCUAACACAUGCAAGUCGAACGGCAGCACAGUAAGAGCUUGCUCUUACGGGUGACGAGUGGCGGACGGGUGAGGAAUACAUCGGAAUCUACUUUUUCGUGGGGGAUAACGUAGGGAAACUUACGCUAAUACCGCAUACGACCUACGGGUGAAAGCAGGGAAUCUUCGGACCUUGCGCGAUUGAAUGAGCCGAUGUCGGAUUAGCUAGUUGGCGGGGUAAAGGCCCACCAAGGCGACGAUCCGUAGCUGGUCUGAGAGGAUGAUCAGCCACACUGGAACUGAGACACGGUCCAGACUCCUACGGGAGGCAGCAGUGGGGAAUAUUGGACAAUGGGCGCAAGCCUGAUCCAGCCAUACCGCGUGGGUGAAGAAGGCCUUCGGGUUGUAAAGCCCUUUUGUUGGGAAAGAAAAGCAGCAGGUUAAUACCCCGCUGUUCUGACGGUACCCAAAGAAUAAGCACCGGCUAACUUCGUG
Molecule: ribosomal RNA, 492 nt
Filed under: uncultured bacterium
Lineage: Bacteria
Description: partial 16S ribosomal RNA
Rfam family: Bacterial small subunit ribosomal RNA
Source: RNAcentral